GAAGGCCGUUAGCGUUACUCGGAAUUACUGGGCGUAAAGCGUGCGUAGGUGGUGAGUUAAGUCUGUCGUGAAAGCCCCGGGCUCAACCUGGGAAUGGCGAUGGAUACUGGCUCGCUAGAGUGNGCUAGAGGGUGGUGGAAUUCCCGGUGUAGCAGUGAAAUGCGUAGAGAUCGGGAGGAACAUCAGUUGCGAAGGCGGCCACCUGGACCAGCACUGACACUGAGGCACGAAAGCGUGGGGAGCAAACAGGAUUAGAUACCCUGGUAGUCCACGCCCUAAACGAUGCGAACUGGACGUUGGGAGCAACUAGGCUCUCAGUGUCGAAGCUAACGCGUUAAGUUCGCCGCCUGGGGAGUACGGUCGCAAGACUG
RNAcentral lists this ribosomal RNA (371 nucleotides) under uncultured bacterium. RNAcentral's name for it is "bacterial SSU rRNA". It matches the Rfam family "Bacterial small subunit ribosomal RNA", at positions 527 to 896 of the family's 1533-position model. The record is from RNAcentral.